Molecule: long non-coding RNA, 1541 nt
Organism: Populus nigra (black poplar)
Lineage: Eukaryota; Viridiplantae; Streptophyta; Magnoliopsida; Malpighiales; Salicaceae
Exons: 2
Source: RefSeq, a predicted model, not a curated record
UUUUCUAUGCGUUUAUAUGUAACUUAAUCAACCACCAGAAACACUAGUGGAGUCAAGUUUUAGACCUGUAGAAUGCUAAACUUAUUGGUUUGGGGUCAUAAAGUUUUGAUUUUGAAUUUUUUUUCUUUUCAAAUAUGCUGGCAUGUUACUGGACAUAGAGAGAAAUAUUGCAAUAGAAUAUUAGCUAGAAGCCUACAGUUCAAUCUUUUUCUUGGGACAUUAAAUUUAAAGUUUGGGACUCUGUGAUUUUCACUAAACUAAUACAUGUUAUCUGAGAUACCAUCAAUGUCCUGUCCAUAGUUUUCCUACUAGUAGUCUGGGAUAGUUGACAGUUACAAUCCAUUUAAUUUCUAGCUCCGAAUUUACUAUCCUUUUGCUUUUAUUUUGCCUUCAAUGAUUUAGAGAAGUGUACUAAUUCCAGUUUUGGAUGGUGGAGAUCUCAUUACCCUUGCAAAUACUUGGACUGGGAAGACAAUAGCCAUUGGCAUUCCGAGUAUUAAACGUCUUAGCUAAAUGUCUGAAUUAAGAGUUUCACAAAGUUUUUUUUCCGGGCGAGCUGGUACUCAUCCUGGAGUUUUGGUCUUAGCACCUACUCGGAAGUUAGCAAAGAAAGUAGAGAAAGAAAUUAAUGAGUCUGCACCUUAUUUGAAUACUAUUUGUGACUAUGGAGGGGUUUCUUCUGUCACACUGCUAAAUGCUCUUUCUCGUGGGGUUGAUAUUGUGGUCGGAACUCCAGGUCGAACCAAUGACCCGCUAAAAGUUAACAGCCUCAAACUGGGAGGGUUGUUUGGUCCUUGAUAAAGCUAAUCAUGUGAAGAGGGUUUUGGAAGUUAUUUUAGGAACUCUCCAUUCGAGCGGCAGAGCAUGCUUUUCUCUGCAACCAAUGCCUACCUGGGUUAAAAAAAUGGCAAGGAAAUAUUCGGACAAUCCUUUGCAGAUUGAUUUGGAAUAAUCCCUUUUCUUUUCUUUUAUUCUUGUUCCUUUUCCUUUUAUCAUGCUCAUGCCUAUGUUGAUUCUUGUUAUUGCAAGUGUCUGCUGUUACUGGAUAAUUGAAGACUUCACUAGCACGCAAUAAAUUUCCGGAGAUAGCCAUGGGAAAAAGAAAAGAAGAGAAGAGAAAGUCAUAGUUAGUUGUUACUUUUAGAGGGUGGUUAAGAAGGUCAUUAAGUUUAUCCGAUUUACCUUGGUGAUGGAUUUAAACCUAAGAAUCUGUUCCUUCUUUUGCAGGUUCGUGACGAAGAAGAAAAGCUGGCAGAAGGAAUCAAACUUUAUGUAAUAUCAGCCAAAGCAAUUUAAAACCGGACCAUUCUUAUCAGUGAUCUUGUAACGGUAUGAGUUGGCAGGCCCUGUCAUUCAAAAUCUAUUUAAGGAUGCCUGAGCCUGCAGGACGAUUGUCUUUCACUCGAACCAAACAAGAUUCUGAUGAAGUCCCUUUGGCGUUAGCAAACAGUGUUGUUUCUGGGUCAUGAUCAGGGCUAAGAAAUUAGCAACCAAAUAUUUGGACAAUUCCUGUCGUUCAAAACCGGACGAUUCUUCUUCUU